RNAcentral lists this ribosomal RNA (510 nucleotides) under uncultured bacterium. RNAcentral's name for it is "partial 16S ribosomal RNA". It matches the Rfam family "Bacterial small subunit ribosomal RNA", at positions 28 to 507 of the family's 1533-position model. The record is from RNAcentral.
GACGAACGCUGGCGGCGUGCUUAACACAUGCAAGUCGAACGAAGAGCGAUGGACGCUUGCUUCUAUCAAUAUUAGUGGCGAACGGGUGAGUAACGCGUAAUCAACCUGCCCCUCAGAGGGGCACAACAGUUGGAAACGACUGCUAAUACCGCAUACGAUCUAAUCUCGGCAUCGAGGAUAGUUGAAAGGUGGUCUUUACAUGUAAGCUAUCACUGCAGGAGGGUAUUGCGUCUGAUUAGCUAGUUGGUGGGGUAACGGCCCACCAAGGCGAUGAUCAGUAGCCGGUCUGAGAGGAUGGACGGCCGCAUUGAGACUGAGACACGGCUCAGACUCCUACGGGAGGCAGCAGUGGGGAAUCUUCCGCAAUGGACGAAAGUCUGACGGAGCAACGCCGCGUGAGUGAUGACGGCCUUCGGGUUGUAAAGCUCUGUUAAUCGGGACGAAAGGCCUUCUUGCGAAUAGUGAGAAGGAUUGACGGUACCGGAAUAGAAAGCCACGGCUAACUACGUG